UUGCCAUCAUUCAGUUGGGCACUCUAGCGAGACUGCCGGUAAUAAACCGGAGGAAGUGGGAUGACGUCAAAUCAUCAUGCCCCUUAUGACCUGGGCUACACACGUGCUACAAUGGUUGGUACAACGAGUUGCGAGUCGGUGACGGCGAGCUAAUCUCUUAAAGCCAAUCUCAGUUCGGAUUGUAGGCUGCAACUCGCCUACAUGAAGUCGGAAUCGCUAGUAAUCGCGGAUCAGCACGCCGCGGUGAAUACGUUCCCGGGCCUU
RNAcentral lists this ribosomal RNA (264 nucleotides) under uncultured Streptococcus sp. RNAcentral's name for it is "partial 16S ribosomal RNA". It matches the Rfam family "Bacterial small subunit ribosomal RNA", at positions 1115 to 1382 of the family's 1533-position model. Lineage: Bacteria; Bacillati; Bacillota; Bacilli; Lactobacillales; Streptococcaceae. The record is from RNAcentral.